RNAcentral lists this ribosomal RNA (253 nucleotides) under uncultured bacterium. Its description in RNAcentral is "partial 16S ribosomal RNA". It matches the Rfam family "Bacterial small subunit ribosomal RNA", at positions 524 to 776 of the family's 1533-position model. The record is from RNAcentral.
UACGUAGGGGGCAAGCGUUGUCCGGAUUUAUUGGGCGUAAAGAGCGUGUAGGCGGCCAGACAGGUCCGUUGUGAAAACUGGAGGCUUAACCUUCAGACGUCGAUGGAAACCGUCGGGCUAGAGUCCGGAAGAGGAGAGUGGAAUUCUCGGUGUAGCAGUGAAAUGCGUAGAUAUCGAGAGGAACACCAGUGGCGAAGGCGAGUCCCUGGACAACACCUGACACUGAGGCACGAAAGCUAGGGGAGCAAACAGG